UACGAAGGGUGCAAGCGUUACUCGGAAUUACUGGGCGUAAAGCGUGCGUAGGGGGUGAGUUAAGUCUGUCGUGAAAGCCCCGGGCUCAACCUGGGAAUGGCGAUGGAUACUGGCUCGCUAGAGUGCGGUAGAGGAGAGUGGAAUUCCCGGUGUAGCAGUGAAAUGCGUAGAGAUCGGGAGGAACAUCAGUUGCGAAGGCGGCUCGCUGGGCCGUUCCUGACGCUGAGACGCGAAAGCUAGGGGAGCGAACAGG
Molecule: ribosomal RNA, 253 nt
Filed under: uncultured bacterium
Lineage: Bacteria
Description: partial 16S ribosomal RNA
Rfam family: Bacterial small subunit ribosomal RNA
Source: RNAcentral